RNAcentral lists this long non-coding RNA (875 nucleotides) under Salvator merianae (Argentine black and white tegu). RNAcentral's name for it is "lncRNA (ENSSMRG00000007347.1)". Lineage: Eukaryota; Metazoa; Chordata; Lepidosauria; Squamata; Teiidae. The record is from RNAcentral.
AGCUCACGGAGACAAAAGACGGGCCAAUCGCAGGGCAGGGUGUGUCUCCGGUCUUUUCUGCAUCUCUCCGAGAAAAGCCGCCGCUUGAGUGAAGGGAGAAGAGGCGGGGGUAGAAGGAGUCGGAGCCGAGGAGGGGAGUGUGCUUCUCGCCCCAGACAGACGCACGCCGCCUCUGUUUGUAUACAGUACGCUUUCCAGCCGGCACGGCUUUUCUCUCUCGUUCGUCCUCUUGCUUCAUUGUUCUCUUGCUUCCUUGCAGCAAGGGCUGAAGCUCCCAGCCAAGAGACUGCCGCUGAGCUCCGGCAGACGGGGAAGGGUCGGUCUCUCUCCCUCUCUGUCUGUCUCAACCACGCAUCCUCCUACACCUCUGCCUAGCACAUUCCCGGGAGCAGGCGCGUCUGCGUCUCGUGUGAGCUAUGAUUGACUCGUGGCAGCUCUUAGCCUGUGAGCUGCGCUCGGGUCUCCUAGGAUAACCUUUUCAUUAGAAGAGACGCGGAACUCGGCUGAGAAAAAAAAAAAGAGAGAGAGAGAGAGAGAGAGAGAGAGAGAGAGAGAGUUUUCUCCCUUUUCUUCAUCUGUAGUGGAAAGGACACUUAUAUAUAUUUUUAAUAUUAUUUGUGUGUGUGUGUGUGUGUGUGUGUGUGUGUGUGUGCUGACUAGCCAGGUAGAGGGAUCGGCUUUCUCCUUCCUCGCAGCUUUUCCUACUCUUAACUCCUCAAGUCUGCUCCGUCUUCGCCUUCUUGGAAUCGUCCGUCCCUCGGGAGAUCAAAGGAUCAUGAGCCGCUGGGUGGCCGCCUGGUUUCUGCUGUGGGGGAGCCUCGGAGCCCCGUCGCUCGCCAAAGAAAUAGAUGAAGAAGAGCCAACGCCUGCAGGUA